RNAcentral lists this ribosomal RNA (500 nucleotides) under uncultured Glomeromycotina. Its description in RNAcentral is "partial small subunit ribosomal RNA". It matches the Rfam family "Eukaryotic small subunit ribosomal RNA", at positions 591 to 1092 of the family's 1831-position model. The record is from RNAcentral. Lineage: Eukaryota; Fungi; Glomeromycota.
CCAAUAGCGUAUAUUAAAGUUGUUGCAGUUAAAAAGCUCGUAGUUGAAUUUCGGGAUCAGUACGCUGGUCGUGCCUUCGGUAUGCACUGGUUUCACUGAUUCCUCCCUUCUGAAGAACCGUAAUGCCAUUCAGUUGGUGUGGCGGGGAAUCAGGAUUGUUACUUUGAAAAAAUUAGAGUGUUUAAAGCAGGCUCGCGCUUGAAUACAUUAGCAUGGAAUAAUGAAAUAGGACGUUUGAUCCUAUUUUGUUGGUUUCUAGGAUUGACGUAAUGAUUAAUAGGGAUAGUUGGGGGCAUUAGUAUUCAAUUGUCAGAGGUGGAAUUCUUGGAUUUAUUGAAGACUAACUACUGCGAAAGCAUUUGCCAAGGAUGUUUUCAUUAAUCAAGAACGAAAGUUAGGGGAUCGAAGACGAUCAGAUACCGUCGUAGUCUUAACCAUAAACUAUGCCGACUAGGGAUCGGAUGAUGUUAAUUUUUUAAUGACUCAUUCGGCGCCUUACG